RNAcentral lists this long non-coding RNA (1591 nucleotides) under Panax ginseng (ginseng). RNAcentral describes it as "long non-coding RNA (PGIN_LNC012754)". Lineage: Eukaryota; Viridiplantae; Streptophyta; Magnoliopsida; Apiales; Araliaceae. The record is from RNAcentral.
CGAAACCCUACUUCGUAUAUUCUAACACGUAAACACAUUAUAGUUUAUAAUACGACCUUUAAACACAUAACACGAAAUAUUAUAAUUAAAAACUAAUUUUAUUCAAUAAUUAUUUUUAAGUCUAAUUACAAGACUAUUCAAUUUCUCGGGUCGUCACAAGAAUCAACUGCUCAUCCAUACCCAAUUUACCAGGAUGGAUCAAGUAACAUCUUGAAUUCUAAAACUUUGUUUGGCAGUACUAUGAUUUAAAAAUUUGGACUGAACGUAAUAGAAGAGUUCAUGGUAAACAUCCUUCCACUGCUGCUUCCCGAUCUUGCUCAAGACUACAUUAGGAUAGUCAAAUGUAGAGUGUGUUCUGAUAAAAAAAAAUUAGUAAAUAUGUAGACAAACUUCCUCAUCUUAGGGUUUGGCAAACAUACUCUUUUUUGCUAUAGCAAUGGCAUCAUUGGCAUGUUUCGUCUUUCCUCUUCAUAUAAACGCUAGCAUGUUAUUCGAAAAAUCAAAAAAACGUAAAAAAUAUUUUUAGCGUGAAUAGUGUUUUUUAAGUCUUUUUCCCGAAUUUUUUUUACUUUCUUAUACGAAACCCUACUUCGUAUAUUCUAACACGUAAACACAUUAUAGUUUAUAAUACGACCUUUAAACACAUAACACGAAAUAUUAUAAUUAAAAACUAAUUUUAUUCAAUAAUUAUUUUUAAGUCUAAUUACAAGACUAUUCAAUUUCUCGGGUCGUCACAAGAAUCAACUGCUCAUCCAUACCCAAUUUACCAGGAUGGAUCAAGUAACAUCUUGAAUUCUAAAACUUUGUUUGGCAGUACUAUGAUUUAAAAAUUUGGACUGAACGUAAUAGAAGAGUUCAUGGUAAACAUCCUUCCACUGCUGCUUCCCGAUCUUGCUCAAGACUACAUUAGGAUAGUCAAAUGUAGAGUGUGUUCUGAAAAAAAAAUUAGUAAAUAUGUAGACAAACUUCCUCAUCUUAGGGUUUGGCAAACAUACUCUUUUUUGCUAUAGCAAUGGCAUCAUUGGCAUGUUUCGUCUUUCCUCUUCAUAUAAACGCUAGCAUGUUAUUCGAAAAAUCAAAAAAACGUAAAAAAUAUUUUUAGCGUGAAUAGUGUUUUUUAAGUCUUUUUCCCGAAAUUUUUUUACUUUCUUAUACGAAACCCUACUUCGUAUAUUCUAACACGUAAACACAUUAUAGUUUAUAAUACGACCUUUAAACACAUAACACGAAAUAUUAUAAUUAAAAACUAAUUUUAUUCAAUAAUUAUUUUUAAGUCUAAUUACAAGACUAUUCAAUUUCUCGGGUCGUCACAAGAAUCAACUGCUCAUCCAUACCCAAUUUACCAGGAUGGAUCAAGUAACAUCUUGAAUUCUAAAACUUUGUUUGGCAGUACUAUGAUUUAAAAAUUUGGACUGAACGUAAUAGAAGAGUUCAUGGUAAACAUCCUUCCACUGCUGCUUCCCGAUCUUGCUCAAGACUACAUUAGGAUAGUCAAAUGUAGAGUGUGUUCUGAUAAAAAAAUUAGUAAAUAUGUAGACAAACUUCCUCAUCUUAGGGUUUGGCAAACAUACUCUUUUUUGCUAUAGCAAUG